Symphalangus syndactylus (siamang) is the source of this 359-nucleotide long non-coding RNA. RefSeq lists it as uncharacterized. The record is from RefSeq and is a predicted model, not a curated record. NCBI's taxonomy places the organism in Eukaryota, Metazoa, Chordata, Mammalia, Primates, Hylobatidae.
CUCCCACCUGAACAGGACGAUUGAACUUUGCUUUGGUAAGGGAUGACUUGCUGGAAGAUGAAAAGCCUUGUGGUGGAACAUGAGUGGAGCUCUUCACAGCUUCCCAGGCGUUGCUGGUGCAGCAUGGGGCAGAGGGUGUGGUACAGCAAUGAUACAAGAGACAUCUUGGAAGAGGCAAAGCUUGAGACAGGUCUUCAAGGACUGGUAACAUCUGGACAGGUUGAAGAGCAGUAGGAGGGCUUUCAGAUGUGGAGAAUGACAUGCACAAAAGCACGGAGCAACACUUUAUGCCAGUUGGAUUAUGGUCCAGUGGGAGAAAGAUCAAUUAAGGUGAAACCACUGUAGAGAAAGCACUGGAG